RNAcentral lists this long non-coding RNA (4232 nucleotides) under Homo sapiens (human). RNAcentral's name for it is "long independently transcribed non-coding RNA 3161 (LINC03161)". The record is from RNAcentral. Lineage: Eukaryota; Metazoa; Chordata; Mammalia; Primates; Hominidae.
GAACAAAGGCCUGGAGACUGGAGCGAGCUGCGUUCUUGGGGGUGGGGGGUGGGGCGGCAGCUGGAGAGUGGGGGCUUCCCCAGCGGGAGAGGGAGGACGAUUCUGGAUGGCUUCCCUCCUUGUGGACAGAGUGAGUCUCUGCUAUGAGAAAGGUGUUCUACAUACGGCUCGGGAGCCAGCAAGUGCGUAUGAAGCCCCUUCACAUGGCUAGUGGCAUCCUAAGGACCCGGCGACAAUUAGUCAUGGCGUCAUCGAACACCAGGCUGGAGGAGGUCUUGGAUGCCACAGCUCCUUUUGAAUUUCAAAGACGUUCAAAUCCCCAUCUGGCUGUUACACUUUUAGGCUAUUGAGAGUGAAAACAAGCACUGACAUGAACACCCAACCAGCUGCCGGUGACAUCGUCCCCUUCUGAGAUCUGAGGACAUGGAUACCCAACCACCUGCCGGUGACAUCGUCUCCUUCUGAGAUCUGAGGACAUGAACACCCAACCACCUGCCGGUGAUAUCGUCCCCUUCUGAGAUCUGAGGACGUGGAUAUCCAACCACCUGCCGGUGACAUUGUCUCCUUCUGAGAUCUGAGGACAUGGACACCAAACCACCUGCCGGUGACAUUGUCUCCUUCUGAGAUCUGAGGACAUGAACACCAAACCACCUGCCAGUGACAUCGUCCCCUUCUGAGAUCUGAGGACAUGGAUACCCAACCACCUGCCGGUGACAUCGUCUCCUUCUGAGAUCUGAGGACAUGGACACCCAACCACCUGCCGGUGACAUCGUCUCCUUCUGAGAUCUGAGGACAUGAACACCCAACCACCUGCCGGUGAUAUCGUCCCCUUCUGAGAUCUGAGGACGUGGAUAUCCAACCACCUGCCGGUGACAUUGUCUCCUUCUGAGAUCUGAGGACAUGGACACCAAACCACCUGCCGGUGACAUUGUCUCCUUCUGAGAUCUGAGGACAUGAACACCAAACCACCUGCCAGUGACAUCGUCCCCUUCUGAGAUCUGAGGACAUGGAUACCCAACCACCUGCCGGUGACAUCAUCUUCUUCUGAGAUCUGAGGACAUGGACACCCAACCACCUGCCGGUGACAUCGUCUCCUUCUGAGAUCUGAGGACAUGGACACCAAACCACCUGCCGGUGACAUCGUCUCCUUCUGAGAUCUGAGGACAUGAACACCCAACCACCUGCCGGUGAUAUCGUCCCCUUCUGAGAUCUGAGGACGUGGAUAUCCAACCACCUGCCGGUGACAUUGUCUCCUUCUGAGAUCUGAGGACAUGGACACCAAACCACCUGCUGGUGACAUUGUCUCCUUCUGAGAUCUGAGGACAUGAACACCAAACCACCUGCCAGUGACAUCGUCCCCUUCUGAGAUCUGAGGACAUGGAUACCCAACCACCUGCCGGUGACAUCAUCUUCUUCUGAGAUCUGAGGACAUGGACACCCAACCACCUGCCGGUGACAUCGUCUCCUUCUGAGAUCUGAGGACAUGGACACCAAACCACCUGCCGGUGACAUCGUCUCCUUCUGAGAUCUGAGGACAUGAACACCCAACCACCUGCCGGUGACAUCGUCCCCUUCUGAGAUCUGAGGACAUUGAUACCCAGCCACCUGCCGGUGACAUCGUCUCCUUCUGAGAUCUGAGGAUAUGGACACCAAACCACCUGCCGGUGACAUCGUCUCCUUCUGAGAUCUGAGGACAUGAACACCCAACCACCUGCCGGUGACAUCGUCCCCUUCUGAGAUCUGAGGACAUGGAUACCCAACCACCUGCCGGUGACAUCGUCUCCUUCUGAGAUCUGAGGACAUGGACACCCAACCUGCUGCUGGUGACAUCGUUCCCUUCUGAGAUCUGAGGACAUGGACACCAAACCACCUGCCAGUGACAUCGUCUCCUUCUGAGAUCUGAGGACAUGGACACCAAACCUGCUGCCGGUGACAUCGUCCCCUUCUGAGAUCUGAGGACAUGGACACCCAACCACCUGCCGGUGACAUCGUCUCCUUCUGAGGUCUGAGGACAGACACUCACAUGGACACCUAAACACCUGCCGAUGAUAUUGUCUCCUUCUGAAAUCUGAGGACAUGGACACCCAACCAGCUGCUGGUGACAUCAUCUCCUUCUGAGAUCUGAGGACAGACACUCACAUAGACGCCCAAUCAGCUGCUGGUGACAUUGUCUCCUUCUGAAAUCUGAGGGUUGGAACACAUUGGCCUGGCUCAGUGUUUCUCCAUGUGGUUUUGAGACCACCUGAGUUGGAACCGAUAUGGGUUCCCAGCCUCACGCCUGGAGAGCUGGAUUUUGCGAGUGUGAGGUUAGGUCCAGCAUCUGCAUGUGUAACGAGCUCCCAGGUGUUUCGUAGAUGCAUUAGGGCUUGAGAAGCUCCUUUCUAGCACCAUCUUCCUUUUUGCGCAUGAGGGAGUUCAGGUCCAGAGAAAUAAAGCAGCAAGGUUAGUGGCACAGCUGGCGCCCCCUGCUUUCUAGGAAUUUAGAAUAUUAUUGAAGAGAGAGGUAUUAGAACCUGUGAAGUCAAUACAGAGACCUCCAGGCGAGUGGCAUCCUCACUGAAACCACUGACAAGUAUGCUGAAUAGAAAGUGUCAUUUCUCCUGGAAGACCCUCAGUGACCCAGCUGGAGGGUCUCUCCUACUCAUCAGCUGUCCCUCACUCUGCCAUUUCAGCAGCUCUGCUCACCCUGAGCAUGCAGAGAGAGCAGCUUUUAAAUGAGUUCUAAUCCAGACCAGCUUGGCUAGCAUUGUCUGUGUAGAGGUGUGCUAGUAAGUCUAACAACUGGCUCUCUGAGAGAGAGUAGCCCUACCUAACUGGUAGCAUUUGCCACUUCCCAUGGUGUAAAUACUCCCAGCAUGGCCAACUUCAAGCUUACUAAGAGGAUUUCGCUGAUCAUGGUUUUGGGGAGAGAUGUGCAGAUUGACUCCUGCCAGCUAGUAGGAGCCGGCUCCAGCACACCACGGCAUCUGUGUCCAGGAACCAGGCUGAGAUGUGGGAAGGCCAGAGAAGGAGGAGGCUGGCAGAUGCCUGAGGGCUGGGAAGGAUUGCAUCCAGGAGGACGGCCGUGGUGGGCAUCCCUGCAUUGGGGGGCAGCCGGGCCCAAGAUCCAGGGGGACAGAAAGCACAAAUGGUGCUGGGGUUCAGUGCCACACUCACCCUGGGGCAGAGGAGGGUGACACUGGCCCUGCCACCUGACCUCAGCCUCAGGGGCUCCAGAUCCUAGCCAGAGGCCUUGAGUGCUUCCUGCCACAAAGGCAGGGGGUGGCCUGGGAUUUCCUCUCUGAUCGGAGCUGAUGUUUCCCUCCAGGAAACCAUCCCUGCUCACCUUGCUAGGCCUGGGGCAAGUUGGAGUGAAGGGCAGGUCCCUCAGCCUUGCCUUUGAGACCUUACCUUCCACUUCAUUCCCGUCUGUGGCUCUCAUUCCUUCCCCACCCCUGCCCUAUGCUCUGGUGAGAAGGUGCAACCCUGUGAGCCCCCAUAGCAAGGUUCACUCCAGCCGUGCUUUCUGCUUGCUUUUGGUUUGUGAAAACCCUCCACUUUCUUAGAGGCCUUCUGCAAAUGUCAUUUCUUCAUAAGGAUCUUCCUACCCCGCCCGAGCCAGGGAGAUCCCUCCCUUCUCUGAGCCUAGAGCACCAUGUCCCUUCCCUGUAGCCCUGGUGACGUGCACCCUGGAUGGUGGCCCUUCCAGUGACAUGGAGGAUGUUUUCCCUCUACAGACACUGUCUGGUUUUAGGAUCCCGGAGCCAGGCAUCUCGCUCACCCCUGUAGCCACCACAGCAUUCAGCCCUGCAGCCUGGGACCUUGCUAAGGUCUUGCUUUACCCCUAAAAACCAAAAAUAGUGUGUCACCUUUAGCAGUGAUUGCCAACGCCUCUGGAGUGCUGGCUGGGACAGGCAUCUCUAUUUUCAUCCUCACCAAUCCUGCCAGGGAGCUACUCUGGGGAGCCCCAUCCUGCUGAUGAAUGACCGAGUCUCGCAGCGAUGACGGAACCUGCAGGUCCCAGGCUUGGGCCCAGGUCUGUCUUUCUCCAGGGGCCUCACAUCCAUCUCCUUCCCAGCUCUCCUUUUCUGUAAGACUUCACAGAACAGGUUCAAAAUCCAUUUGCUGGCCGAGCACAGUGGUUCACGCCUGUAAUCCAGCACUGUGGGAGGCCUCGAGGCAGGUGGAUCACCUGAGGUCAGGAGUUCGAGACCAGCCUGGCCAACAUGGCGAAACCCCAUCUCUACUAAAAA